RNAcentral lists this ribosomal RNA (438 nucleotides) under uncultured bacterium. RNAcentral describes it as "bacterial SSU rRNA". It matches the Rfam family "Bacterial small subunit ribosomal RNA", at positions 954 to 1392 of the family's 1533-position model. The record is from RNAcentral.
GCAAAACGCGAAGAACCUUACCCGGGUUUGAACGUAGGGAGACAGGAGUGGAAACAUUCUUUUCAGCAAUGACUGCCUACGAGGUGCUGCAUGGUUGUCGUCAGCUCGUGCCGUGAGGUGCCGGCUUAAGUGCCAUAACGAGCGCAACCCUUAUUUCCAGUUACUAACAGGUAAUGCUGAGGACUCUGGAGAGACUGCCAGCGUAAGCUGUGAGGAAGGUGGGGAUGACGUCAAAUCAGCACGGCCCUUACAUCCGGGGCGACACACGUGUUACAAUGGUAAGGACAAAGGGCAGCUACCGGGCGACCGGAUGCGAAUCUCUAAACCUUAUCUCAGUUCGGAUCGGAGUCUGCAACUCGACUCCGUGAAGCUGGAUUCGCUAGUAAUCGCGCAUCAGCCAUGGCGCGGUGAAUACGUUCCCGGGUCUUGUACACACCG